GCAGAGGAGGGGACACACAAUUCAACUUAUAACAGGAUUAAAGCAUCAGUGUUUUUAAUCGGCCACUGUCUUCCCCCAAGUGAUUCUAAUAUGCAGCCAAAUUUGAGAGUCAAUGCCCUAGGUGGGAUUCUCAAACCUGGCUGCGUUAGAAUCACCUGGGUAACUUAAACAACCCCCAAAAACAGCACAUACCAAUACUUAGGCAUCAGCCUCAGAGAUGUGAUUUGAUCCGUGUGGGGUGGGAUGUUGUUAGUUUACAGAGUCUCCCAGGUGAUUUUAAUGUGUAACCAGGUUUGAGUAUCACUGCACUAAUAUGUGUUUCUUAACUGUAUAAAUGGAAGCAUAUUUCUUACCUUUCUCCAAAUUGUUUUUUUUGAAAAUUUUUAAUAAAUGCAAGUUAUUUUAAUGAAAGAUAUAUAUUUAAUGAUGUAGUAUUCAGGUCUAAAAAAUGAACAAAAUACUUUUAAGGUGUUAUGUUUCAAAUCAAAUGUGGGUUUUGUGAUAUAAUUUUCUUUGUGACUUAUAGUCCUUUUUUGCUUAAUGAAAAUAAAUCAAAAGAACUUGGGCCUAUCACUCAGAAAGCAAAUGAAGUGAAGAAACUGACACUUUAAUGAUUAAGUUGACUAAAGUGUCACAGCUUUUAGUGAGGUAAUUUCUUGAUUAAAGAAAUGAUGUUUUUCAGCUUUCAGAAGGAGGCUAGACUUUCCUUUCCAGAUGAUAUCAAAAUCUGAUAACAAUUCCUUGAUUUAUUCAGGCCAAUUUCUGUGUUUUGAAGUAAAGCCACUUAUCUGGCAUUUUUCAUUAAGGCUUGACAACAGCUGGCUGCUUCCCAGAAUGCAGUGCUGUGACAGAGAUUAUGUUAUAAAGCCAUGGAUCAGCUGCCUUUGUAAUUUGUUACAUUAGAAAC
Molecule: long non-coding RNA, 907 nt
Filed under: Homo sapiens (human)
Lineage: Eukaryota; Metazoa; Chordata; Mammalia; Primates; Hominidae
Description: HSALNT0308162
Source: RNAcentral